GAUUAACAUUGUCGUCAUACUUAACACAUACAACACGGACGUUAAAUGGUGUUUCCAUUCGCGGACGGGUGAGUAACGCGUAAGGACCUUCCCUUGGGAGGGGAACAACAACUAGAAACGGCUCCUAAUACCCCGUAGGCUGAGGAGCAAAAGGAGGAAUCCGCCCGAGGAGGGGCUUGCGUCUGAUUAGCUAGUUGGUGAGGCAAUAGCUUACCAAGGCGAUGAUCAGUAGCUGGUCCGAGAGGAUGAUCAGCCACACUGGGACUGAGACACGGCCCAGACUCCUACGGGAGGCAGCAGUGGGGAAUUUUCCGCAAUGGGCGAAAGCAUGACGGAGCAAUGCCGCGUGGAGGUAGAAGGCCCACGGGUCGUGAACUGCUUUUCCCGGAGAAGAAGCAAUGACGGGAGCUGGGGAAUAAGCAUCGGCUAACUCUGUG
This 437-nucleotide ribosomal RNA is filed under the name uncultured bacterium. RNAcentral describes it as "partial 16S ribosomal RNA". It matches the Rfam family "Bacterial small subunit ribosomal RNA", at positions 28 to 507 of the family's 1533-position model. The record is from RNAcentral.